GUAGUCGCCCGGGUUGCCGCAAGGCCUCCCGUGUAACCUACCACCCUUUGUUUAUUACACUUUGUUGCUUUGGCAAGCCUGCUCUCGGGCUGCUGGCUCCGGCCGGCGAGCGCUUGCCAGAGGGCCUAAACUCUGUUUGUCUAUACUGUCUGAGUACUAUAUAAUAGUUAAAACUUUCAACAACGGAUCUCUUGGUUCU
This 199-nucleotide unclassified non-coding RNA is filed under the name rhizosphere metagenome. RNAcentral's name for it is "partial ribosomal RNA internal transcribed spacer region". The record is from RNAcentral.